AACGCGAAGAACCUUACCUGGGCUUGAACUACUCGUGGUAGUUCGCUGGAAACAGUGGACGACCCGCAAGGGAGCGAGCAGAGGUGCUGCAUGGUUGUCGUCAGCUCGUGUCGUGAGAUGUUGGGUUAAGUCCCGCAACGAGCGCAACCCCUAUCUCAUGUUGCUAUUCCCGCAAGGGAAGCACUCUUGAGAAACUGCCUUCGAUAAGAAGGAGGAAGGUGGGGACGACGUCAAAUCCUCAUGGCCCUUAUGUCCAGGGCUACACACGUGUUACAAUGGCCGGUACAAUGGGAAGCAAUACCGUAAGGUGGAGCCAAACCCCAAAGCCGGCCCCAGUUCAGAUUGUGGGCUGCAACCCGCCCACAUGAAGGCGGAAUCGCUAGUAAUCGCUGAUCAGCAGGCAGCGGUGAAUACGUUCCCGGGCCUUGUA
Molecule: ribosomal RNA, 430 nt
Filed under: uncultured Elusimicrobium sp.
Lineage: Bacteria; Pseudomonadati; Elusimicrobiota; Elusimicrobia; Elusimicrobiales; Elusimicrobiaceae
Description: bacterial SSU rRNA
Rfam family: Bacterial small subunit ribosomal RNA
Source: RNAcentral